Patiria miniata (bat star) is the source of this 414-nucleotide long non-coding RNA. RefSeq lists it as uncharacterized. The transcript is spliced from 2 exons. The record is from RefSeq and is a predicted model, not a curated record. Lineage: Eukaryota; Metazoa; Echinodermata; Asteroidea; Valvatida; Asterinidae.
UACAUUUGUACCUGGGACCAAGUUGACCUGGAAGUGGAACUGAGUUGGCCAUGCUGUCUCAGACGAUCAGACCCGUCUGUUAGGGACCGAGUCGGUAACAGUCUUGUGGUGGUUGGGUACGGAGUUUACUCGAAACCCAUGUAAUGCAUGCUCUUGUUCUCGUUGUGUACAAACACAAACGUCACGUUACUGUACAUGAACUUGAAUGUGUACUUUAAUUUGCCAUCUAGACCUAUGGGUUGUCUCUCGGACGCUGUGGAGGAGGUUUGCCUACAGUUCUUCUUAUGCGGAGUGUACGGCAUUCCACCAUGACACGCAGAUGACGUACCCUGCCCUGACGAAGGAUACCUUCAGAAAAUUUGACAAUUUUCAUCGGUUUUGAAGAGUUUCCUCCUAUUUCUGGAUUGAAGAUGG